Molecule: non-coding RNA, 101 nt
Filed under: beta proteobacterium AAP65
Lineage: Bacteria; Pseudomonadati; Pseudomonadota; Betaproteobacteria
Also listed under: 1 other name
Description: TPP riboswitch aptamer (THI element)
Rfam family: TPP riboswitch aptamer (THI element)
About the family: Vitamin B(1) in its active form thiamin pyrophosphate (TPP) is an essential coenzyme that is synthesised by coupling of pyrimidine and thiazole moieties in bacteria. The previously detected thiamin-regulatory element, thi box was extended, resulting in a new, highly conserved RNA secondary structure, the THI element, which is widely distributed in eubacteria and also occurs in some archaea. Analysis of operon structures identified a large number of new candidate thiamin-regulated genes, mostly transporters, in various prokaryotic organisms.
Source: Rfam by way of RNAcentral
GCACACCGCUAGGGGUGUUGGGCUCGACAGGGCCCGACUGAGAAAGUCCCUUUGAACCUGAUUGAGGUAAUCCUCGCGCAGGGAAGCAGCCUGAAUGCCGC